CCAGUCACUAGGUGGAGGCGAAG
This 23-nucleotide non-coding RNA is filed under the name Arabidopsis thaliana (thale cress). The record is from RNAcentral. Lineage: Eukaryota; Viridiplantae; Streptophyta; Magnoliopsida; Brassicales; Brassicaceae.